UGGCGGACGGGUGAGUAAUGUCUGGGAAACUGCCCGAUGGAGGGGGAUAACUACUGGAAACGGUAGCUAAUACCGCAUAACGUCGCAAGACCAAAGAGGGGGACCUUCGGGCCUCUUGCCAUCGGAUGUGCCCAGAUGGGAUUAGCUAGUAGGUGGGGUAAUGGCUCACCUAGGCGACGAUCCCUAGCUGGUCUGAGAGGAUGACCAGCCACACUGGAACUGAGGCACGGUCCAG
RNAcentral lists this ribosomal RNA (235 nucleotides) under uncultured bacterium. Its description in RNAcentral is "partial 16S ribosomal RNA". It matches the Rfam family "Bacterial small subunit ribosomal RNA", at positions 96 to 334 of the family's 1533-position model. The record is from RNAcentral.